Non-coding RNA from Ceratotherium simum simum (southern white rhinoceros), 103 nucleotides. The record is from RefSeq and is a predicted model, not a curated record. NCBI's taxonomy places the organism in Eukaryota, Metazoa, Chordata, Mammalia, Perissodactyla, Rhinocerotidae.
GGUGGAAAAAAUAGAGAGAUGUUGGUAAAAGGGUACUAACUUUCAGUUAUUAGAUGAAUAAGUUCUGAGGAUCUAAUGUAUACCAUGGUGAUUACAGUUAACA